Molecule: ribosomal RNA, 443 nt
Filed under: uncultured bacterium
Lineage: Bacteria
Description: partial 16S ribosomal RNA
Rfam family: Bacterial small subunit ribosomal RNA
Source: RNAcentral
CCUACGGGAGGCAGCAGUGGGGAAUAUUGGGCAAUGGGCGCAAGCCUGACCCAGCAACGCCGCGUGAAGGAAGAAGGCUUUCGGGUUGUAAACUUCUUUUCUCAGGGACGAAGAAAGUGACGGUACCUGAGGAAUAAGCCACGGCUAACUACGUGCCAGCAGCCGCGGUAAUACGUAGGUGGCAAGCGUUAUCCGGAUUUACUGGGUGUAAAGGGCGUGUAGGCGGGGAAGCAAGUCAGAUGUGAAAACCACGGGCUCAACCUGUGGCCUGCAUUUGAAACUGUUUUUCGUGAGUGCUGGAGAGGCAAUCGGAAUUCCGUGUGUAGCGGUGAAAUGCGUAGAUAUACGGAGGAACACCAGUGGCGAAGGCAGAUUGCUGGACAGUAACUGACGCUGAGGCGCGAAAGCGUGGGGAGCAAACAGGAUUAGAUACCCCUGUAGUC